RNAcentral lists this long non-coding RNA (279 nucleotides) under Carica papaya (papaya). Its description in RNAcentral is "long non-coding RNA (CPAP_LNC007975)". The record is from RNAcentral. Lineage: Eukaryota; Viridiplantae; Streptophyta; Magnoliopsida; Brassicales; Caricaceae.
UCAUUCGAUCGCGUUUGGGAGGGAGCGCAUCCAGGCUGUCCAUGCGCGCAAGAAUAGACUUGGGUCGUUCGAUCGCAGGCACAUAGAUCCCCUGCGUGGCUUCCCGUGUAGCACCGCGUCAGUAAAAGUUGCCAUGUGGCGCGUUCUAGUUCGUUGGAGCUACUGACCGAGCGUCCCACGUGGCAGAACUUUUUCAAAUUAUACUUUGACCCCUGGUUUCUAAUUUUUCUUUCAAAAAUACUCUCAAAAUCUAAAUUUUUACCCCUUUUUCCCAAAAUU